AACGCUAGCUACAGGCUUAACACAUGCAAGUAGAGGGGCAGCAUAGAGAAGCUUCGGCUUAUUUAGAUGGCGACCUGCGAAUGGGUGAGUAACACGUAUCCAACCUGGCUGUUACUGGAGGAUAGCCUCCCGAAAGGGAAAGUAAGACUCCAUAGAAUGAUUGCAAGACAUCUUGUGAUGAUUAAAGGUUACGGUAACAGAUGGGGAUGCGUCCCAUUAGGCAGUUGGCGGGGUAACGGCCCACCAAACCGACGAUGGGUAGGGGUUCUGAGAGGAAGGUCCCCCACAUUGGAACUGAGACACGGUCCAAACUCCUACGGGAGGCAGCAGUGAGGAAUAUUGGUCAAUGGGCGGAAGCCUGAACCAGCCAAGUAGCGUGCAGGAUGACGGCCCUAUGGGUUGUAAACUGCUUUUAUACAGGAAUAAAGUUAGCCACGUGUGGUUAUUUGUAGGUACUGUAUGAAUAAGGACCGGCUAAUUCCGUGCCAGCAGCCGCGGUAAUACGGAAGGUCCAGGCGUUAUCCGGAUUUAUUGGGUUUAAAGGGAGCGUAGGCCGUCUGUUAAGCGUGUUGUGAAAUGUAGAUGCUCAACAUCUGAAUUGCAGCGCGAACUGGCAGACUUGAGUGUGCGCAACGUAGGCGGAAUUCGUGGUGUAGCGGUGAAAUGCUUAGAUAUCACGAAGAACUCCGAUUG
Molecule: ribosomal RNA, 693 nt
Filed under: uncultured bacterium
Lineage: Bacteria
Description: bacterial SSU rRNA
Rfam family: Bacterial small subunit ribosomal RNA
Source: RNAcentral